RNAcentral lists this ribosomal RNA (217 nucleotides) under Cerambycidae sp. BAH_28365_C05. RNAcentral describes it as "partial 16S ribosomal RNA". The stretch from base 78 to 217 matches the Rfam family "Bacterial large subunit ribosomal RNA", at positions 2473 to 2613 of the family's 2925-position model. The record is from RNAcentral. Lineage: Eukaryota; Metazoa; Arthropoda; Insecta; Coleoptera; Cerambycidae.
AAACUUUUUCAUUAUUUUUCCACUUUUAGGUGAGUUCUUGAUCCAUAGGAAUGAUUAUUAGAUUAAAUUACCUUAGGGAUAACAGCGUAAUCCUUUUUGAGAGUUCUAAUCGAUAAUAGGGUUUGCGACCUCGAUGUUGGAUUAAAAUUAAAUCUUGGUGCAGAUGCUAGGAGGUUGGGUCUGUUCGACCCUUAGAAUUUUACGUGAUCUGAGUUCA